UUUAAGGUCGGCAUCUGCGUCUGGACCACAGAGCUGUUUGUCUCUGCUACUCGGAGUGCUGCGGGGUGGUCUGCAGUCACAGGUGGGCUGUGCCUCAAGGGUUAGGCUUCCUGACAGCACCCUGAUUCUGUCAGGAGCCACCCAGUAUCUCCAAAGGUGUCUGAGACGGUGGGGGGACUGAUUGCCCAUGACCAGGUGGUGUAGGGAGAGCUGGAGCGGCAGUGGCUCCAUCGGUCACUCCUCACUGAGGAACAGGUCAGGAGUGGCCCUGAGCAUCUGCGCAGUGGCCCUCCCAGCAGAGCCUAUGGUGCUGGGCAGAGGAGGGUCCUGACCCUGAGGUGGGGAAGCUUGGGCACCUGGGAAGGACGCGUGCAGGUGGGGUGUGGCUCUGGGGCCUGGGGCUGCCCACCCUAAUAGCAGGGACCAGAAUGCAGAGGGUGAGGGUUGGGUGAACUGGGGAGGCCCUCCUGGGGGGGGUGGUGGCCCAUUGAGUGCCCAGGCCUCCAGCGCUGGGAUGAACAGCACCUGCAGACCCCCUGAGCCUGGCAGAGCCCCCUCCCCAGGGCUUACCCUCCUGUUCCCAGGCUCGCAGCCUGGCUCUGUGUUCUGGAGCAGACACCUUCUCUGUGAUGAGUUCACCUUCGGGCACACUUCCUGGCAGCAAGGUCUUUCCAGCUUCAGGUCAGUGAGGAAGGGUUCCUUUUCCAGACAGGCCCCCAGCCCCUGACUUCUGGGUCCUCCAGCCUCCACUUAGGCUGGUCCAGCUAGAACGUAGUCAGGAUUUGGCAAAAUCAGACACACACAAACAAAGUAAUUCUCUCUUGGGGCAAAACAGAAGGCACAGGACAACCUGGUGGAAAAUGAGUCGUAAAACUUAAAAAACAUUUAAAAUGUCUCUCAGCCACAACGGAAGAGAACUGAAGCUCCACACAGAUUCCAGGACAAGGGAGGGGAUGAGACACGACCCUCGGAGUCAUCGGGUCCCAGGCAGAUCGGCUGUCAGAGCUCACUUCUCUGGGGUUUCGAGCUGACGGUGCAGCCGCCCACGUCAAAUGCAGACUCAGUCUGGAGACCAUCCCCAUUUCUGUGGCCAGCGGAGCCCCAAGCAAGUCAGAUCUGUGCCACAGACGUGCAGGCCAAACGAUGUUUCUUUACAGGUCCAUGGGGGUGUAUCUCCUCUCCGACUGCACCACAGUGGCCGAGCCCUGAGCUGGUCAUGUGUUGGAUGAAGCGCUAUGGCUUCAUCACGCCCAACCGCGGCAGGCAGGGGACAUCACUGGCAUUGACGAUACAGCCGGGGACCUGGGUUCAGCUAUGAGUCCACAGCUGAAUGCCUCUGUUGACACAGGGCCCCUUAGAAACAACACCAGAUGAAUGCUGGGCCUUUCUCUUCAUGCCUGUUUCAGCUCUCAGGUGACAAGGCACAUGUGCUUUCCAGAGAAGUGUUGGGAAGACGUGGGGAAGAAUUAAAAGGGGAGAAAACACCAGAUGUAUUGCAAACAGAAUGCAUUUUACAGCGAACACCUGUCCGACCCACUAAGAACUGCCAG
Molecule: long non-coding RNA, 1550 nt
Organism: Bubalus bubalis (water buffalo)
Lineage: Eukaryota; Metazoa; Chordata; Mammalia; Artiodactyla; Bovidae
Exons: 3
Source: RefSeq, a predicted model, not a curated record